This 72-nucleotide transfer RNA is filed under the name Sus scrofa (pig). It matches the Rfam family "tRNA". From Rfam's summary of the family: Transfer RNA (tRNA) molecules are approximately 80 nucleotides in length. Their secondary structure includes four short double-helical elements and three loops (D, anti-codon, and T loops). Lineage: Eukaryota; Metazoa; Chordata; Mammalia; Artiodactyla; Suidae. The record is from Rfam by way of RNAcentral.
UCCGUGGUGGCCUAGUGUUUAAGGACCAGCAUUGUCACUGCUGUGGCUCUGGUUCCAUUCCUGACCCAGGAA